This 344-nucleotide long non-coding RNA is filed under the name Homo sapiens (human). RNAcentral's name for it is "HSALNT0346902". The record is from RNAcentral. Lineage: Eukaryota; Metazoa; Chordata; Mammalia; Primates; Hominidae.
CUCUCUUGCUCUUCUUGCCAUGUGACACCUCGCCCUUCACCUUCUGCCAUGAGUAAAACUUCCUGGGGCCUUACCAGAAAUCAAGCAGAUACUGGCACUAUGCUUGUAGAGCCCGCAAAACUGAAGCUGAACUGACACGAAACAAAAGAAGUCCGUUGUUUUGGAUUGAGUUCCAUACUUGGCUGGCCCAGAGGUUGAUCUCACCACCAUUCAGAUAUCCAAGAAGAAGCCACCUGUUGGAUUUAAGAAAACCCAGGCAGAUUUGGCAGUCUUCUUGAAAGGAAGUAAUGCUUAUUGUGGUCAGAAGAAAGAGUGAGGCAACUCAGGGUCUGAAAAAAGAGACA